CUGGAGCACUCCUGGAGCAGAACUAGAGGACAGAAGAGAACAUGGACACAGCACAGGCUUCUAGACACUGAGGAUAGAGCACAAAGGAGGAGAAAGAGGAAGACAAAGAGAGGAUAACUUGUCACAGGAAAGACUGAAAGGGAUAAUAGUGAUGGCCGAGGCACCUGAGCAGCAGCAGCAGCAGCAGCAGCAGGAGGAGGAGGAAGAGGAGCAGCCGAGCACUGUGGAGGCGACGGAGGCUGAUGAAGGAUCUGAAGAACCAAAGGAGAGUGUCCAGACGACCCCGAACAGACCUCUGCUGUCCAUGAGGUCCAUCAGCACUGUGGACCCAGAUGACGACUCCCCAAACAUGAUUGUCUACAGAAAGACAUCGCACCAACCGGAUGAUCAAGUUGAACCUUCAUAGACACAUUUCCUCAAUGGUGAGCUGAAAGAAACAACCAGUUCCAGCACGUACAAGCAAAUUUUCUCCACCAAAAAAGAGGAGAAACCUGGAUGAGUGAGUGGAUGUGGCUGACAUUUAUCAGUUGGUCGACUCAUGAGAAGCCAGACACUCAGAUGUCUUGAUAACAGAACUCUUUAGAAGUAAUAUGGUAACUUUAAUUACCUUUUUAAAACUGUCAUUGUCACUGCGAUUUUUCUUACAUUAAUAUUGCCGGUGAGACUACUGCCCCUCAUAUGUUACACAUCUGGAACUGAAAAACAGUGACCACUGUUCAUGUCUUAAUUACAGCCUGCCAACUGUAUUGAAAUGUCUAUUUAUGUCUGUUUAUAUGAUGUAAAUUAAAGCUAUUGAAUAGUAGCAUACACUGAA
Molecule: RNA transcript, 814 nt
Organism: Micropterus salmoides (largemouth bass)
Lineage: Eukaryota; Metazoa; Chordata; Actinopteri; Centrarchiformes; Centrarchidae
Gene name: eukaryotic translation initiation factor 5B-like
Exons: 4
Source: RefSeq, a predicted model, not a curated record